This 273-nucleotide ribosomal RNA is filed under the name uncultured Prevotella sp. Its description in RNAcentral is "partial 16S ribosomal RNA". It matches the Rfam family "Bacterial small subunit ribosomal RNA", at positions 70 to 339 of the family's 1533-position model. Lineage: Bacteria; Pseudomonadati; Bacteroidota; Bacteroidia; Bacteroidales; Prevotellaceae. The record is from RNAcentral.
CAAAGAGUGCUUGCACACUUUGGAUGUCGACCGGCGCACGGGUGAGUAACGCGUAUCCAACCUGCCCUUUACUUGGGGAUAACCCGUUGAAAGACGGACUAAUACCCAAUGAUAUUCAUUGAUGACAUCUGAUUUGAAUUAAAGAUUUAUCGGUAUAGGAUGGGGAUGCGUCUGAUUAGCUUGUUGGUGAGGUAACGGCUCACCAAGGCAACGAUCAGUAGGGGUUCUGAGAGGAAGGUCCCCACAUUGGAACUGAGACACGGUCCAAACUCC